Molecule: ribosomal RNA, 1131 nt
Filed under: uncultured bacterium
Lineage: Bacteria
Description: bacterial SSU rRNA
Rfam family: Bacterial small subunit ribosomal RNA
Source: RNAcentral
AGUGGGGAAUUUUGGACAAUGGGCGCAAGCCUGAUCCAGCCAUGCCGCGUGCAGGAUGAAGGCCUUCGGGUUGUAAACUGCUUUUGUACGGAACGAAAAGGCUCUUUCUAAUAAAGGGAGUUGAUGACGGUACCGUAAGAAUAAGCACCGGCUAACUACGUGCCAGCAGCCGCGGUAAUACGUAGGGUGCGAGCGUUAAUCGGAAUUACUGGGCGUAAAGCGUGCGCAGGCGGUCUUGCAAGACAGUUGUGAAAUCCCCGGGCUCAACCUGGGAACGGCCAUUGUGACUGCAAGGCUGGAGUACGGCAGAGGGGGAUGGAAUUCCGCGUGUAGCAGUGAAAUGCGUAGAUAUGCGGAGGAACACCGAUGGCGAAGGCAGUCCCCUGGGCCUGUACUGACGCUCAUGCACGAAAGCGUGGGGAGCAAACAGGAUUAGAUACCCUGGUAGUCCACGCCCUAAACGAUGUCAACUGGUUGUUGGGGAUUUACUUCCUCAGUAACGAAGCUAACGCGUGAAGUUGACCGCCUGGGGAGUACGGCCGCAAGGUUAAAACUCAAAGGAAUUGACGGGGACCCGCACAAGCGGUGGAUGAUGUGGUUUAAUUCGAUGCAACGCGAAAAACCUUACCCACCUUUGACAUGGUCGGAAUCCUGCAGAGACGCAGGAGUGCUCGCAAGAGAGCCGACACACAGGUGCUGCAUGGCUGUCGUCAGCUCGUGUCGUGAGAUGUUGGGUUAAGUCCCGCAACGAGCGCAACCCUUGCCAUCAGUUGCUACGAAAGGGCACUCUGAUGGGACUGCCGGUGACAAACCGGAGGAAGGUGGGGAUGACGUCAAGUCCUCAUGGCCCUUAUAGGUGGGGCUACACACGUCAUACAAUGGCUGGUACAAAGGGUUGCCAACCCGCGAGGGGGAGCCAAUCCCACAAAGCCAGUCGUAGUCCGGAUUGCAGGCUGCAACUCGCCUGCAUGAAGUCGGAAUCGCUAGUAAUCGUGGAUCAGCAUGUCACGGUGAAUACGUUCCCGGGUCUUGUACACACCGCCCGUCACACCAUGGGAGCGGGUUCUGCCAGAAGUAGGUAGCCUAACCGCAAGGAGGGCGCUUACCACGGCAGGGUUCGUGACUGGGGUG